CAUAGCGACUAUCGUGGCAUAUCAAUAAGCGGAGGAAAAGAAACUAACUAGGAUUCCCUUAGUAACGGCGAGUGAAGCGGGAAGAGCUCAAAUUUGAAAUCUUCAAGGUUCUACCUUGACGAAUUGUAGUUUAAAGAAGUGUUUUCUGUUGGAGCUUUGGUAAAAGUUCUUUGGAAUAGGACAUCAUAGAGGGUGAGAAUCCCGUAUUUGACCAUUUCUUCCAGCUGUGUGAUACACUUUCAAAAAGUCGGAUUGUUUGGGAAUGCAGUCCAAAAUGGGUGGUAAAUUUCAUCUAAAGCUAAAUAUUGGCGAGAGACCGAUAGCGAACAAGUACCGUGAGGGAAAGAUGAAAAGAACUUUGAAAAGAGAGUUAAACAGUACGUGAAAUUGUCAAAGGGGAAGCGUUUGACACCAGUGUUGUUUUCUCGAAAAUCAAUUAAAAAUGGCUUGAUUUUGUGUUGUAUUGACCUUAUAAGCUUUCUGCACUUUUUUCUAUGUCUUUUUUAAUGCACUUUUCGUUUAACAAGUCAACAUCAAUUUCUUUUGUUGUAAAAGAGUCAUUGGAAGGUGGCUUUUUCUUCGGAAAAAGUGUUUAUAGCCUUUGGCUUCUGCAAUCGGAGAGAUUGAGGUCUGCAGCGUAGAUCCUUCGGGGUUAGAUACAUUUGUGCUAAGCUAUAGUUCUUUAUAGACAACUUGUUGACUAUAAUCAAUCCUGUAACUUACUCGCUUAUGCUAUUUUACCUACGCUUAGGAUGUUGAUAGUCACAGCGUGUAC
This 775-nucleotide ribosomal RNA is filed under the name uncultured Neocallimastigales. RNAcentral's name for it is "partial large subunit ribosomal RNA". The stretch from base 5 to 694 matches the Rfam family "Eukaryotic large subunit ribosomal RNA", at positions 24 to 664 of the family's 3401-position model. Lineage: Eukaryota; Fungi; Neocallimastigomycota; Neocallimastigomycetes; Neocallimastigales. The record is from RNAcentral.